Molecule: ribosomal RNA, 442 nt
Filed under: uncultured Prevotella sp.
Lineage: Bacteria; Pseudomonadati; Bacteroidota; Bacteroidia; Bacteroidales; Prevotellaceae
Description: bacterial SSU rRNA
Rfam family: Bacterial small subunit ribosomal RNA
Source: RNAcentral
UGAGGAAUAUUGGUCAAUGGGCGAGAGCCUGAACCAGCCAAGUAGCGUGCAGGAUGACGGCCCUACGGGUUGUAAACUGCUUUUAUGAAGGAAUAAAGUCACCCACGUGUGGGUGUUUGCAUGUACUUUAUGAAUAAGGACCGGCUAAUUCCGUGCCAGCAGCCGCGGUAAUACGGAAGGUCCGGGCGUUAUCCGGAUUUAUUGGGUUUAAAGGGAGCGUAGGCCGCCUGGUAAGCGUGUUGUGAAAUGUAGGUGCUCAACAUCUGCACUGCAGCGCGAACUGGUUUCCUUGAGUACGCACAAAGUGGGCGGAAUUCGUGGUGUAGCGGUGAAAUGCUUAGAUAUCACGAAGAACUCCGAUUGCGAAGGCAGCUCACUGGAGCGCAACUGACGCUGAAGCUCGAAAGUGCGGGUAUCGAACAGGAUUAGAUACCCUGGUAGU